GACGAACGCUGGCGCCUGCCUUACCCAUGCCAGUUGGACGGGAAGGGCCCUGCUUUGUUGGGGUGCCCGAUGGCCGAACGGGUGAUUAACACGUGAGUAACCUGCCCUUUACUUGGGGAUAACUUCAGGAACCUGGGGCUAAUACCGGUUAGAACUUCUUCCUGCAUGGUGGGGGUUGGAAAGUUUCGGCGGUUGGGGAUGGACUCGCGGCUUAUCAGCUUGUUGGUGGGGUAGUGGCUUACCAAGGCUUUGACGGGUAGCCGGCCUGAGAGGGUGACCGGCCACAUUGGGACUGAGAUACGGCCCAGACUCCUACGGGAGGCAGCAGUGGGGAAUAUUGCACAAUGGGCGGAAGCCUGAUGCAGCAACGCCGCGUGCGGGAUGACGGCCUUCGGGUUGUAAACCGCUUUCGCCUGUGACGAAGCGUGAGUGACGGUAAUGGGUAAAGAAGCACCGGCUAACUACGUG
RNAcentral lists this ribosomal RNA (468 nucleotides) under uncultured bacterium. RNAcentral's name for it is "partial 16S ribosomal RNA". It matches the Rfam family "Bacterial small subunit ribosomal RNA", at positions 28 to 507 of the family's 1533-position model. The record is from RNAcentral.